This 421-nucleotide long non-coding RNA is filed under the name Salvia miltiorrhiza (redroot sage). RNAcentral's name for it is "long non-coding RNA (SMIL_LNC002938)". Lineage: Eukaryota; Viridiplantae; Streptophyta; Magnoliopsida; Lamiales; Lamiaceae. The record is from RNAcentral.
UUUUAUGCUGUCUUCUUUUGUGGGUUUUUCUGGUUGCUCGUUUUACAGGUUGUGGUCGCCGCCCUCUCUACCGCCGUCGCCGUGUUGGCUGCACUCCUAUCCAGGGAUGUUCUUAAACUUUCUCUUUCUUUUUAUGCCCUGAGGACAGUGCAUGUUUUUCUCUGUGGGGGAGGGGCGUGAUUUAUGAGUUUGGGGGUUUUAUGGUUCUGUCUUGGUUGCGUUGUUGGUUGUGCCGCAUGCGGUUUUUAUGAUGCUUUAUCUUUGCGUUGCAUGCUUGGUUGUGAUGCCCUGUUUUGCUUGUCUUGGGGCGAAUGGUCCCCUUCUCUUGUUUUCUUGCCUGUUCUUAAGUACAUCACAUGAUUGAUAGUGAUUCACUGGCGAUUCGGGAUUGUGUUUGUUUGGUUUGUUGUCCUUGUUUUUC